GUAAGUAGAACAAGAUUUACUGUUUAUUCUUCUUCAAAAGAUUUACUGUUUAUUGUAGUAGAAUAAUUUAUUCAAAGUCAUUCAAAUUACAGUUAAUUGCAAAAAGUUAACAUUCCCCCAAGGAACUGAAAAACAAUAAAGGCAUCAUCUUGACCUGCCUGCCAUUGGCUAUUUGAAUAUUCCAAGAUAUUUGAGUUAGCAAUGGCUGUUCAAGUAAAGCAAUCAAUAAAAUAUUUGAGAACAGUAGCGAGAGAAACAGAAUGCCAUAUUUUAACUGUCAAGAUACACACUGUACAGAUCUUGAUAGGUUCCUAAAUCUUUGAUUCCUUUCACUCAAUAGAUAGAACACACAUUUACAAAGUAUCUUCUUCCAUCUUCCUUGUAAAUGAAGGAAUCGAGUAGAAGGAGAAAGGACAAAUACACCUUGCAAUGAAUCUAAGUCAUCCUUUGAAUUCCUUGUUGCAACAUUUCCCCAAGCCUCCUAUACAGAGCUUCUUGUUCAUCGAAUGAUAGGUUCAUCAAUAUCUGAAGUAACCAGUGUAAAACCAUAAAUACGUCGUUUUUCAAAAUAUUAUUUAAAGAGUGUGUUG
This 590-nucleotide long non-coding RNA is filed under the name Trifolium pratense (red clover). RNAcentral's name for it is "long non-coding RNA (TPRA_LNC005676)". Lineage: Eukaryota; Viridiplantae; Streptophyta; Magnoliopsida; Fabales; Fabaceae. The record is from RNAcentral.